GGGGUGGUGGGGACGCCACCGGCUCUCUCAGCUGUGCCUCGUGUUUGCUGAUGACACUUAACGCAGUGUUGGAAAGAGGAAGUGGCGCAAAAACACAACUCUUCACAAAAUGAGAAGACUGGAUUUGUGGCACUGAAAAGGAAAUGGCCGCGGCUGGAGUUCGAGAACGCGUGGGUGGCGAGUGGGAAGGCCUGGCGAGCCACGAGGCAGAAGAGAGAAAGCAGACGGAAGAGUGAAGAUGACGUCCAUUCUCAACUCUCAUCUGUGAGCAAGAUGUUCUUCUAGCACACAAGGCGCAGGACACGAAAGACUACGUUUCCCAUGAAGACCAGCGCACACCUGCACAGUGUUGUAAAAUCAUGAUCUCCAAGUCGCCUGCAGAUGGAUUAAACAACAUUUCUGUUUCCAGUGGCUGUGUGAAGGAUACACGGUAAUAAGGCUUCUCAGUUCUUCAGCCUCACCCCCGAGGCUUUUACGCCCCCCUCCAUCAACCAUCCCCUACUCUCCGCCACCAUCCCGCCACUUGGCAGCGGGACAAGGUCAACACACAGAGCGUUUUCUCUUCUCUGCUUUCCCUCCCUGUAAUUCCUCAUCAGCAGCAGAGCAACAGAGCCCCCUCCAAACAACCCCCCGCUCCUCUCUCUCUAUCCUUUCAUCUCCCGCUGCCCUUGGAGGAGCAAUGGAAAGACUAAAGAUGGAGAGGAGGAUAAAGAAACAGCAUAAGUCUAGCAAGAGAAAAAAAUGUCGUCUGGAAGGCAGACGAGGUCAAGAGCAGAAAACGAUCCUAUUUUCUGUUUCGCUCUUUUGUCAUCCGGACUCCAAAAAAACAAGACGCUGCAGCGCCUCACAUUCCUGAGAGCCGAGCAGAUUCACCCAAUUUGUUUCCACUCUGAGUGCGUGUGCCAAUAAAUAAUAACC
Long non-coding RNA from Corythoichthys intestinalis (scribbled pipefish), 918 nucleotides. RefSeq lists it as uncharacterized. The transcript is spliced from 6 exons. The record is from RefSeq and is a predicted model, not a curated record. Lineage: Eukaryota; Metazoa; Chordata; Actinopteri; Syngnathiformes; Syngnathidae.